GGAUUUAAGCAGAAGCACCGGCUUCUCACCUGACCGAUUUUAUAUCGGCUGGUAUUUGAUCCAAUGAUUUAUGAAUGUAAUAUUUCAUGAACUAUUGAUCAAUAUGGGAUGCUGGUAGAUUGAACCAGCAUCCCUUUAUUUUGUUU
Paenibacillus sp. IHBB 10380 is the source of this 146-nucleotide non-coding RNA. The record is from Rfam. Lineage: Bacteria; Bacillati; Bacillota; Bacilli; Caryophanales; Paenibacillaceae.